Molecule: transfer RNA, 69 nt
Filed under: Rattus norvegicus (Norway rat)
Lineage: Eukaryota; Metazoa; Chordata; Mammalia; Rodentia; Muridae
Rfam family: tRNA
About the family: Transfer RNA (tRNA) molecules are approximately 80 nucleotides in length.
Source: Rfam by way of RNAcentral
GGGGAUUUAGCUCAGUGGUAGAGCGUUUGCCUAGCAAGCACAAGGCCCUGGGUUCGGUCCCCAGCUUCG